This 73-nucleotide transfer RNA is filed under the name Cordylochernes scorpioides. RNAcentral's name for it is "tRNA-Thr". It matches the Rfam family "tRNA". Rfam says of the family: Transfer RNA (tRNA) molecules are approximately 80 nucleotides in length. Their secondary structure includes four short double-helical elements and three loops (D, anti-codon, and T loops). Further hydrogen bonds mediate the characteristic L-shaped molecular structure. tRNAs have two regions of fundamental functional importance: the anti-codon, which is responsible for specific mRNA codon recognition, and the 3' end, to which the tRNAs corresponding amino acid is attached (by aminoacyl-tRNA synthetases). tRNAs cope with the degeneracy of the genetic code in two manners: having more than one tRNA (with a specific anti-codon) for a particular amino acid; and 'wobble' base-pairing, i.e. permitting non-standard base-pairing at the 3rd anti-codon position. Lineage: Eukaryota; Metazoa; Arthropoda; Arachnida; Pseudoscorpiones; Chernetidae. The record is from RNAcentral.
UCCAGGGUAGCCUAGUGGACAUGGCAUCUGCCCGGUAAGCGGAUGGUCGUGGGUUCGUUUCCCAUCCCUGGAC